This 300-nucleotide ribosomal RNA is filed under the name uncultured cyanobacterium. RNAcentral describes it as "bacterial SSU rRNA". It matches the Rfam family "Bacterial small subunit ribosomal RNA", at positions 97 to 412 of the family's 1533-position model. Lineage: Bacteria; Bacillati; Cyanobacteriota. The record is from RNAcentral.
GGCGGACGGGUGAGUAACACGUUAAGAAUUUGCCUUUAGGAGGGGGACAACAACUGGAAACGGUUGCUAAUACCCCAUAUGCUUUCGAGUGAAACGGUUUUUCCGCCUAAAGAGAAGCUUGCGGCUGAUUAGCUUGUUGGUGAGGUAAUGGCUCACCAAGGCGACGAUCAGUAUCUGGUUUGAGAGGACGAUCAGACACACUGGAACUGAGACACGGUCCAGACUCCUACGGGAGGCAGCAGUGGGGAAUUUUCCGCAAUGGGCGAAAGCCUGACGGAGCAAUACCGCGUGAGGGAUGAC